GGACCUGACUGCUAUCGGAUUGAUGCUAAGCCAUGCGAGUCAUUGUAGCAAUACAAGGCAUACGGCUCAGUAACGCGUAGUCAACCUAACCUAUGGACGGGAAUAACCUCGGGAAACUGAGAAUAAUGCCCGAUAGAACAUUAUGCCUGGAAUGGUUUAUGUUCCAAAUGAUUUAUCGCCGUAGGAUGGGACUGCGGCCUAUCAGUUCGUUGGUGAGGUAAUGGCCCACCAAGACUAUUACAGGUACGGGCUCUGAGAGGAGUAGCCCGGAGAUGGGUACUGAGACACGGACCCAGGCCCUAUGGGGCGCAGCAGGCGAGAAAACUUUGCAAUGUGCGAAAGCACGACAAGGUUAAUCCGAGUGGUUUCUGCUAAAGAAACCUUUUGUCAGUCCUAGAAACACUGAUGAAUAAGGGGUGGGCAAGUUCUGGUGU
Molecule: ribosomal RNA, 434 nt
Filed under: uncultured archaeon
Lineage: Archaea
Description: bacterial SSU rRNA
Rfam family: Archaeal small subunit ribosomal RNA
Source: RNAcentral